This 1179-nucleotide long non-coding RNA is filed under the name Marmota monax (woodchuck). Lineage: Eukaryota; Metazoa; Chordata; Mammalia; Rodentia; Sciuridae. The record is from RNAcentral.
UAAUAAUUUAUUUCUAGUUAUAGACAAAAAUAUAAAUAGAUAUAUUUAUGGUAGAAAUAUAUCUUAAAAGUUCUAUUUCUGGUAGCUAGAUAAUAUUAAUUAUUUGUUUGAUGGAAGUCCCUCAAAAACAAUAAUGCCUAACGAUUUCAAAAAGAAAAAAAAAACUGGUAGUCUUGCAAAAUAGGACUGUUUUGUUUUUUUAAUCAACUAUAGGAAUACAACUUAGACACGAAAAUACACAUAUUUUAAAAUAUAUAUGCAUUAUGCAAAUGUAUAUAUGCAUAUAUGUUAUGUCUGAGAAAUUUCAACUAGUUUUUGACCACCCAAAUUCCAUUUUCCACGUCUGCCAAUGAGAAAGGUGGGAAAAGCAUAGAGAAACUGUCUUUACUGGAAUGUAAACUGUUAAAGCAACUGAUGUAGUAUGUGCAUAACAGGUCACUGGUUCUCUUCUUCAGAAUAAACACUACUGUUGGUAUGGCCACUAGAGUAAUGUUUUAAAUUCCUCUGAAACCCAAGGGUUCAAUCAAUAGCUGAUUGUUUUCCUUUCUUUAUCUUUGUUCUCUAAAUUCUAAACAUAAAAUAAGUACAACCAGGUUUGAGAAUGUGUUUCAAACUCUGAGCUCUCAUCCCAGUUCUACCUCUCACUAAUUGCAUGACCUUAGACAGUUGGUGGGACUUCCCUGGGUCAUAGUUUCUUUUUCCAUAAAAUGGAGAAAACAAAAUAAUUACACAUAGGCUUCUUGUAGAUAGGAAAUGAGAACAUAUUUAAAUAACAGUGCAAUGACUGAUGUUGUGCCAAAACAUAUUAGUUACAAAAAUAAUGUAGAGCCAACGAAGUACUCUCUUUUUUCAUCAAACAGAAAUUUUAUUCUACCCCCCUUAGUAAAAACACAUAUAUAACUUAAACAUAUCAUUGUAUUUGGUCAGAAUGAUAAACUGUCUUCCAAAUCACAAGGCAAAAACAAGUUUUUUAUUUCUCCCCUUGGCUGCUUUGAUAAUCAACAUUCACAGCAAGGUAAUUCCAUCUUAAUUCAUCCUAUUGAAGUCUCUUUAUUCCUUUCCCCCCUAUCUAUUUUUUGUUAAUUAUUCACUAGAUUAUCUGUACCUAUUGAAAAGUAUUAAAUCUAAUGCGCUAACUCCCUCAAACCAAUGAAAAAUGUAAUGGAAACAUUAAUAAAA